GACGAACGCUGGCGGCGUGCUUAACACAUGCAAGUCGAACGAAGUGGAGAACGGGUGGGUAACGCGUAAUCAACCUGCCCGUCAGAGGGGGACAAAAGUUGGAAACGACUGCUAAUACAGCAUACUGAAGGAGGGGAUUGCGUCAGAUUAUCUAGUUGGAGGGGGAACGGCCCACCAAGGCGAUGAUCAGUAGCCGGUCUGAGAGGAUGAACGGCCACAUUGGGACUGAGACACGGCCCAGACUCCUACGGGAGGCAGCAGUGGGGAAUCUUCCGCAAUGGACGAAAGUCUGACGGAGCAACGCCGCGUGAGUGAUGACGGCCUUCGGGUUGUAAAGCUCUGUUAAUCGGGACGCGGUACCGGAAUAGAAAGCCACGGCUAACUACGUGCCAGCCGCCGCGGUAAUAC
Molecule: ribosomal RNA, 408 nt
Filed under: uncultured bacterium
Lineage: Bacteria
Description: partial 16S ribosomal RNA
Rfam family: Bacterial small subunit ribosomal RNA
Source: RNAcentral